This is a long non-coding RNA of Triticum aestivum (bread wheat), 307 nucleotides long. RefSeq lists it as uncharacterized. The transcript is spliced from 3 exons. Lineage: Eukaryota; Viridiplantae; Streptophyta; Magnoliopsida; Poales; Poaceae. The record is from RefSeq and is a predicted model, not a curated record.
ACGCAAUGUUCCUUUCAUUAGUAACUAAUAUGACUGACUCGUCAAAACCAAAUGUGCAGUCCAUGUGCGAGAAGAACGGCCAGACUCCUCCGCCGAUGCCAGUCAUUGCUCCGGCGGGCACGCGUAACUCCCGACAAGCAUCGACCGAUCCUUCUCCGUCUGCCACUGGCGCGACCGGUCCUACACCUACACCUACACCUACACCUCCGUUAUGACGAUUUGCUUAAGAUCACGGAAGCUUGGGUUGAUGGAGUGCUUGUAUUUAGUUUUUGUUUUGACCUUGUGAAACUUGCUACCUAUGGAUGAA